RNAcentral lists this ribosomal RNA (500 nucleotides) under uncultured bacterium. RNAcentral's name for it is "partial 16S ribosomal RNA". It matches the Rfam family "Bacterial small subunit ribosomal RNA", at positions 30 to 523 of the family's 1533-position model. The record is from RNAcentral.
ACUGAACGCUGGCGGCAGGCCUAACACAUGCAAGUCGAGCGGUUGACGGGAGCUUGCUCCCUGAUUCAGCGGCGGACGGGUGAGUAAUGCCUAGGAAUCUGCCUAUUAGUGGGGGACAACGUUUCGAAAGGAACGCUAAUACCGCAUACGUCCUACGGGAGAAAGCAGGGGACCUUCGGGCCUUGCGCUAAUAGAUGAGCCUAGGUCGGAUUAGCUUGUUGGUGAGGUAAUGGCUCACCAAGGCGACGAUCCGUAACUGGUCUGAGAGGAUGAUCAGUCACACUGGAACUGAGACACGGUCCAGACUCCUACGGGAGGCAGCAGUGGGGAAUAUUGGACAAUGGGCGAAAGCCUGAUCCAGCCAUGCCGCGUGUGUGAAGAAAGUCUUCGGAUUGUAAAGCACUUUAAGUUGGGAGGAAGGGUUGUAGAUUAAUACUCUGCAAUUUCGACGUUACCGACAGAAUAAGCACCGGCUAACUCUGUGCCAGCCGCCGCGGUAA